AGAGCGAACGCUGGCGGCAUGCUUAACACAUGCAAGUCGCACGGGCAUUUCGGUGUCAGUGGCGGACGGGUGAGUAACGCGUAGGUAUCUAUCCUUGGGUGGGGGAUAACGGUUGGAAACGACUGCUAAUACCGCAUGAUAACUGAGGUUUAAAGGCGCAAGUCGCCUGGGGAGGAGCCUGCGUACGAUUAGCUUGUUGGUGGGGUAAAGGCCUACCAAGGCGACGAUCGUUAGCUGGUCUGAGAGGAUGAUCAGCCACAUUGGGACUGAGACACGGCCCAAACUCCUACGGGAGGCAGCAGUGGGAAUAUUGGACAAUGGGCGAAAGCCUGAUCCAGCAAUGCCGCGUGUGUGAAGAAGGUCUUCGGAUUGUAAAGCACUUUCGACAGGGACGAUGAUGACGGUACCUGUAGAAGACGCCCGGCUAACUUCGCGCCAGCAGCCGC
RNAcentral lists this ribosomal RNA (446 nucleotides) under uncultured bacterium. RNAcentral describes it as "SSU rRNA". It matches the Rfam family "Bacterial small subunit ribosomal RNA", at positions 26 to 518 of the family's 1533-position model. The record is from RNAcentral.